GAUGAAGAAAAACCCAACUGAAAAGACCAUGUCCUGCCUGAGACUCUUGAAAGCAGUCCCAGAUCAGGACUGUUACAUAAUGUAAAUUCUGUACGUGGCAGUAAUAAAAUGGAAUAAAAAUCCUAAUGGAAAGGAAGCUUUUAACGCAGUGUAACAUGUUGUAAUAACAAAACAACAAACAUAAAAAUGUCUUUAAAAUAAUUCUGCAGAGACAUCUUCCGGAGAGUAACAAGGAGGCAUUUCAGUUGAAGUGUUCCAGUAUGUAGAUACUUCAAGAUUUUAACAACUCUUAGUGCAGUCCACAAAUCCAGCUUUGGAUGUAAAAAAGAUCAGUCCAUCUGCUCACCUUUGGAUAGAGAGCUCAACAUGUCUCUUUUACUGUAAAUCUUAUUGGUAAAAUUAAAUAGUAAUGAGCC
Long non-coding RNA from Pantherophis guttatus, 416 nucleotides. RefSeq lists it as uncharacterized. NCBI's taxonomy places the organism in Eukaryota, Metazoa, Chordata, Lepidosauria, Squamata, Colubridae. The record is from RefSeq and is a predicted model, not a curated record.